UGGCUUGGUUGGUAGAGCAUGGUGCUUGCAAUGCCAGGGUUGUGGGUUUGAUUCCCAU
RNAcentral lists this transfer RNA (58 nucleotides) under Salmo salar (Atlantic salmon). It matches the Rfam family "tRNA", at positions 8 to 63 of the family's 71-position model. From Rfam's summary of the family: Transfer RNA (tRNA) molecules are approximately 80 nucleotides in length. Their secondary structure includes four short double-helical elements and three loops (D, anti-codon, and T loops). The record is from Rfam by way of RNAcentral. Lineage: Eukaryota; Metazoa; Chordata; Actinopteri; Salmoniformes; Salmonidae.